AAUUUUCCCCCAUUUCUUCCAAAUUUUUUUCCCAAUUUUCCCUGGAUUUUUUCUCAUUUUUUCUUUAUUUUUCUCCCAUUUUUCCCUGAUUUUCCCCCAAUUUUUUCCCCAAUUUUCCCCCAAUAUUUCCCGAUUUUCCCCCCAUUUUUUCCCAAUUUUUUUUGCUGACGAGCUCAUCAACGCUGCCAAGGGCUCCUCCAACUCCUACGCCAUCAAGAAGAAGGACGAGCUGGAGCGCGUGGCCAAAUCCAACCGCUGAGAAAAGCCCAAAAAUCCCCCCAAAAAUAAAAAUAUUCCUCCAAAAAAUAAAAAUAUUCUUCCAAAAAUAAAAA
Haemorhous mexicanus (house finch) is the source of this 332-nucleotide long non-coding RNA. RefSeq lists it as uncharacterized. The record is from RefSeq and is a predicted model, not a curated record. The transcript is spliced from 2 exons. NCBI's taxonomy places the organism in Eukaryota, Metazoa, Chordata, Aves, Passeriformes, Fringillidae.